CAUAGGCGGACUCAACAUCGAAAAACGAGCCAGGAGGAGAAAAUUUACCUCGAUCGGCGAUCGGAAACUUCUCCGGUGCAGCGGCAAGUGGCGGCGGCCGGCUCCUCCGGCGUCUGGUUCUUCUUCUCUGGCGAGGCACUGGCGGCUAGGGUUUUGUGGUUAGGUGUGGGUGGGGUUAUUUAUACCCUUUGCCUCUUUAUCUCAACCGUCCAUCAAGAUUAACUCUGGACCGUCCGAUCACGAUUUAAUUGGGAUUAAAUUUAGGUCGUCCAUCGCGAUGAAAUUUGGGCCGUCCGUGCCUGAUUGAAUCUGGGCCGUUCGUACGCAUGAAUCUGGGUCGUCCGAGGCGCAUGUUUGAUCUGAGCCGUCCGUGCGCGCGGGAACGGAUCUGGGCCGUCCGAUCGCGCGCACGCGGAUCGCCCACUGGCCCGUCCCGUGUCAGCGUUUCUUUGCCACGCGGCGUAUCC
This 467-nucleotide long non-coding RNA is filed under the name Carica papaya (papaya). RNAcentral's name for it is "long non-coding RNA (CPAP_LNC001825)". The record is from RNAcentral. Lineage: Eukaryota; Viridiplantae; Streptophyta; Magnoliopsida; Brassicales; Caricaceae.